UACGGGGGGAGCAAGCGUUGUUCGGAUUUACUGGGCGUAAAGCGCGCGUAGGCGGUCGUGACAAGUCACUUGUGAAAUCUCCGGGCUUAACUCGGAACGGUCAAGUGAUACUGUCGGACUAGAGUACAGAAGGGGCAACUGGAAUUCUCGGUGUAGCGGUGAAAUGCGUAGAUAUCGAGAGGAACACCUGCGGCGAAGGCGGGUUGCUGGGCUGAUACUGACGCUGAGGCGCGAAAGCCAGGGGAGCGAACGGG
RNAcentral lists this ribosomal RNA (254 nucleotides) under uncultured bacterium. RNAcentral describes it as "partial 16S ribosomal RNA". It matches the Rfam family "Bacterial small subunit ribosomal RNA", at positions 524 to 776 of the family's 1533-position model. The record is from RNAcentral.